AUACGGAGGGUGCAAGCGUUAUUCGGAAUCACAGGGCGUAAAGGACGCGUAGGCGGGUUGGCAAGUCAGAUGUGAAAUUCUACAGCUUAACUGUAGAACUGCAUUUGAAACUGCUAACCUAGAGUAUGGGAGGGGGAAAUGGAAUUAGUGGUGUAGGGGUAAAAUCCGUAGAUAUCACUAGGAAUACCGAAAGCGAAGGCGAUCUCCUGGAACAUAACUGACGCUAAGGCGUGAAAGCGUGGGGAGCAAACAGGAUUAGAUACCCUAGUAGUCC
RNAcentral lists this ribosomal RNA (274 nucleotides) under uncultured bacterium. RNAcentral's name for it is "partial 16S ribosomal RNA". It matches the Rfam family "Bacterial small subunit ribosomal RNA", at positions 523 to 796 of the family's 1533-position model. The record is from RNAcentral.